GGCUAGCAUCGCAUCGUGCCCGUACAUGGUAGCCGUACGGACCGAUGGGAGCUUGCUCCCUGAUGUCAGCGGCGGACGGGUGAGUAACACGUGGGUAACCUGCCUGUAAGACUGGGAUAACUCCGGGAAACCGGGGCUAAUACCGGAUGCUUGAUUGAACCGCAUGGUUCAAUUAUAAAAGGUGGCUUUUACCUACCACUUACAAAUGGACCCGCGGCGCAUUACCUAGUUGGUGAGGUAACGGCUCACCAAGGCAACAAUGCGUACCCAACCUGAGAGGGUGAUCGGCCACACUGGGACUGAAACACGGCCCAAACUCCUACGGGAGGCAGCAGUAGGGAAUCUCCCGCAAUGGACAAAAGUCUGACGAACCACCGCCGCGUGAGUGAUGAAGGUUUUCGGAUCGUAAAACUCUGUUGUUAGGGAAAAACAAGUACCGUUCAAAUAGGGCGGUACCUUGACGGAACCUAAGGGAAUUCGUAGGUGGAAGGCGUUUCCCAAAUUAAUUGGGCGAAAAGCCGGCGCAGCCGUUUCUUAAUCUUAAUGGAACGCCCCCGCCUCCACGGGGAAGGGU
Molecule: ribosomal RNA, 574 nt
Filed under: Bacillus licheniformis
Lineage: Bacteria; Bacillati; Bacillota; Bacilli; Caryophanales; Bacillaceae
Description: bacterial SSU rRNA
Rfam family: Bacterial small subunit ribosomal RNA
Source: RNAcentral